ACAGACAGGUCCUGUCUUCGUUCAAAAAGAAGCUGCUGCAUGAAAAUCUUGAUCAGCAUUUGCCCCAUCCAUUUUCACACAUGGACGGGGGCGCCCUUUUGGCAAUCCAGUCCGGAGUAGCCAAACUAGGAAAGUUGACCGGUGAAUAUUUUCUCCUUUUUAAGCUUUGGAAAAUCAAAACUUAUUCCGGAUGAACAUCCUUUUUUUUUUUUGGGUACGAAAGAUAAAAAUGCAUUGUUAAUAGUUAAAUAGUCAAGCAGCGUUUACAAAACGAGGCAAACAAAAACUCCUGCAGUCAUCUUCUAACAAUCUAAACAUAGCAGUGGGUGGAUUUACAAGACAGGUAAGAGAACUCUUGGUCGGUUGUUGUUCCCACUUUUGCUUAAAAAAAAAAAAAAUUUCGCGCACCUGAUAGCAGCUUCUCUGUAGAUGUGCCAAAUAUGCGCUUCCUGCAAUCAAAGAUAACAGGUAGCUAGGGGAAAAUUCAGGAGCGUCAGAUUUAUGAGUAUUUAGGAUAUCCGCCACAACUUUGGCAUCCAGCUUUAUGAUCAAAAUGCGAUGUGUUGAGCGAUUUGGCUAAGGAAGAGCUCACCCCUUAGUGCCCAUAAGAAAAUCAGCAGUUACAUCAAUAGCAGUUUCCAAAUUCCUGUAAAAACCCUCUAUCCAUUCUACUAUGAUUCCUCCACUUGCUCCCGCCUUACCUAAGGAGGAUUCAUCAGCAUCGAGUUCUAGUUCUACAAGUAGGACCGACGUGUCGGAGAUUCAUUCCAGACGUAUAUGCUAGUGCUGACAAAAAAUCUUGCGCAGUUUUGGAUUCCAAAGCAAGGAAUCAGGAAUCAGUGGGAACUUCUCUACCUCUCAUCAACGUAGCCUUUUGGGUAAAGGGAUACUCCCAGCAAAAGUAGAAAAACUUUCACGACGACGGCCCUAAUAAUUUGCUGCAAGCAAGCUUCACUA
Molecule: long non-coding RNA, 957 nt
Filed under: Coffea arabica (coffee)
Lineage: Eukaryota; Viridiplantae; Streptophyta; Magnoliopsida; Gentianales; Rubiaceae
Description: long non-coding RNA (CARA_LNC003630)
Source: RNAcentral